GAUGAACGCUGGCGGCGUGCCUAAUACAUGCAAGUCGAGCGAACAGACGAGGAGCUUGCUCCUCUGACGUUAGCGGCGGACGGGUGAGUAACACGUGGAUAACCUACCUAUAAGACUGGGAUAACUUCGGGAAACCGGAGCUAAUACCGGAUAAUAUAUUGAACCGCAUGGUUCAAUAGUGAAAGACGGUUUUGCUGUCACUUAUAGAUGGAUCCGCGCCGCAUUAGCUAGUUGGUAAGGUAACGGCUUACCAAGGCAACGAUGCGUAGCCGACCUGAGAGGGUGAUCGGCCACACUGGAACUGAGACACGGUCCAGACUCCUACGGGAGGCAGCAGUAGGGAAUCUUCCGCAAUGGGCGAAUGCCUGACGGAGCAACGCCGCGUGAGUGAUGAAGGUCUUCGGAUCGUAAAACUCUGUUAUUAGGGAAGAACAAAUGUGUAAGUAACUAUGCACAUCUUGACGGUACCUAAUCAGAAAGCCACGGCUAACUACGUG
Molecule: ribosomal RNA, 497 nt
Filed under: uncultured bacterium
Lineage: Bacteria
Description: partial 16S ribosomal RNA
Rfam family: Bacterial small subunit ribosomal RNA
Source: RNAcentral